This 74-nucleotide transfer RNA is filed under the name Podarcis lilfordi (Lilford's wall lizard). RNAcentral's name for it is "tRNA.Ile". Lineage: Eukaryota; Metazoa; Chordata; Lepidosauria; Squamata; Lacertidae. The record is from RNAcentral.
GCCUGAAUAGCUCAGUUGGUUAGUGUGUGGUGCUGAUAAUGCCAAGGUUGCAGGUUUGAUUCCCAUACAGGGCA